UAGGUUACCAUCGGAAACGGUGCCCGAACGGGCUCAAAAGGGAAUCCGGUGCCGCAGGCUUGUCCUGCGAAUUCCGGAGCUGCCCCCGCAACUGUAAGCGGCCGUUCCGCCCCAUCUGACCCUCGAGGUCAGGGCCACUGUGCGGAUGCGCAUGGGAAGGCCGGGACCGGAACCAAGGCCGCAAGUCAGGAGACCUGCCGUUCCGGAGCCGCGAUC
This 216-nucleotide non-coding RNA is filed under the name Paracoccus saliphilus. Lineage: Bacteria; Pseudomonadati; Pseudomonadota; Alphaproteobacteria; Rhodobacterales; Paracoccaceae. The record is from RNAcentral.